Pelobates cultripes (western spadefoot toad) is the source of this 283-nucleotide non-coding RNA. The record is from the annotation of a GenBank genome assembly. Lineage: Eukaryota; Metazoa; Chordata; Amphibia; Anura; Pelobatidae.
AGAACGUUCAUAGGAAAGCAUUGAGAAAUGCUUUCCUGUGGACUGUUUGAAUGCGCGCUCGGCUCUUGCAGCGCAUACGCAUUCGGCUCCACUCGGGAGCUGACGUCGGCGGGGGAGGAGAGGUCACCAGCGCCGAGGGAGCCCGGGACUGGAUUAAAGUGAGUAACUAAAGGGGUUUUAACCAUUUCAGCCCAGCCUGAGGGGGACCCUGAGUGUGGAACCUAAGGGUUAUUUAGUGUCAGGAAAACAAGUUUGUUUUCCUGACCCUAUAGUGAUCCUUUAA